AAAUAAUAAAAUAUUUGAAUUAAAUGUAUGCAUGCAAUUUAUUUUUAAUAUUAAAUACAUAUUAUUCAUAAUUUCAAAUUUUUUUAGUAUUUUAUGGAUUAAAAAUUUAAUUAAUGAUGAUAUAAAUUACCAGAAAUGUUAACUACUAAAUAAAAAUCUAAGAAUAAUCUCAACUGCAAAGAAUACUAUUUGUUAGUUAUAGUUUUAUUGAAGAGUAUGUAUUUUAAGGAUUAUAUGGAAAAUUGGUUAUCUGCAGAAAUUAAUUUCCCUAAUAUAUGGUUAAUCUGGAAUCUAUUGUAUAUGCUAGCCAACUCCGGAGUUUUUCCGUGCUCACAUUGAUGAAAAUAAUAAUAAUAGACAACAUUAAGCUGUAUGCCUCAACACAAGGACAAUUACAACAGUUGUUACAAAUCACACAGAUAUUUUCAAAAGACAUCUGCAUGGAAUUUGGCCUAAACAAAUGUAAAACAUUUCACACAGAAAAGGGAGUUCUAAAGAAAGGAAAUUUCACUCUUUAAAAUGGAGACACUAUUGAAUCCAUGGAAGAGGGUGAAUUGUACAAGUAUUUGGGAUUCCAGCAGGCCAGAAUCACAGAACAGAAGAAAACUACACAAACACUGUCAAGCCUGUACACCAACAGAUUAAAUAACAUUCUCAAAACACAGCUGAAUGGAAAAAACACAGCGAAAGCCAUU
Molecule: long non-coding RNA, 695 nt
Filed under: Androctonus crassicauda
Lineage: Eukaryota; Metazoa; Arthropoda; Arachnida; Scorpiones; Buthidae
Source: RNAcentral